This 412-nucleotide ribosomal RNA is filed under the name uncultured bacterium. RNAcentral describes it as "bacterial SSU rRNA". It matches the Rfam family "Bacterial small subunit ribosomal RNA", at positions 917 to 1345 of the family's 1533-position model. The record is from RNAcentral.
GGGCCCGCACAAGCGGUGGAGCAUGUGGUUUAAUUCGAUGCAACGCGAAGAACCUUACCAGGGUUUGACAUGUUACUAUCUUGAUAGGAGAUAGCGAAAGCUAUUUUGAUACACAGGUGGUGCAUGGCUGUCGUCAGUUCGUGUCGUGAGAUGUUGGGUCAAGUCCCGCAACGAGCGUAACCCUUACUUUUUGUUGUGUUAUCAGAUCAAAAAGAACUGCCAGUGAUAAAUUGGAGGAAGGUGAGGAUGACGUCAAGUCAGCAUGCCCCUUACACCCUGGGCAACACACGUGCUACAAUGGUUAGUUCAGAGCGUUACUAUUCUGCAAAGAUGUGUAAAUCGCUAAACCUAAUCCUAGUUCGGAUUCGUCUCUGCAACUCGAGACGAUGAAGCCGGAAUCGCUAGUAAUCGC